This 342-nucleotide ribosomal RNA is filed under the name uncultured Desulfobulbus sp. RNAcentral's name for it is "bacterial SSU rRNA". It matches the Rfam family "Bacterial small subunit ribosomal RNA", at positions 1041 to 1382 of the family's 1533-position model. Lineage: Bacteria; Pseudomonadati; Thermodesulfobacteriota; Desulfobulbia; Desulfobulbales; Desulfobulbaceae. The record is from RNAcentral.
CUGCAUGGCUGUCGUCAGCUCGUGUCGUGAGAUGUUGGGUUAAGUCCCGCAACGAGCGCAACCCUUGCCUUUAGUUGCCAGCAGUUCGGCUGGGCACUCUAAAGGGACUGCCGGUGUUAAACCGGAGGAAGGUGGGGAGUGACGUCAAGUCCUCAUGGCCUUUAUGACCAGGGCUACACACGUACUACAAUGGCCGAUACAAAGGGCAGCGACACUGCGAGGUGAAGCCAAUCCCGUAAAAUCGGUCUCAGUCCGGAUUGGAGUCUGCAACUCGACUCCAUGAAGUUGGAAUCGCUAGUAAUCGUGGAUCAGCAUGCCACGGUGAAUACGUUCCCGGGCCUU